CACACACACACACACACACACACACACACACACACACACACACACACACACUGCCCAGCCCUGACUGGCUCUGCACUUAGCCACUGCUGUGUUUCCAACAACACGUAUCACAUUGGUGACGCCCUCUUGCCCUGCAACAGCCUUUAAGAUUCUUUGUCAGCAUUUCACUACUGUUGGGGGAGCCCUUAAGACUGAAGGAAUCAGGGCUGGAGAGAAGGCUCAGUGGUUAAGAGCACUGGCUGCCUUUCCAAUGAUCCAGUUCGAUUCCCUGCACCCACAUGGCAGCUCCCACCUGUCUGUAAUUCCAGAAGGAAGGAAGAUUAAGGAAGGAAGGAAGGAAGGAAGGAAGGAAGGAAGGAAGGAAGGAAGGAAGGAAGGAAGGAAGGAAUGAGUCCUGAGACCACAGCUACCCAAAUCAGGAAGGGAUGCACCAGGACCAACAGGAAAUUGCACCUCAUCAUGGACAACAGCAAAAGCACAGGGCAGAAACAGCGGCCUGCUCUCCUGACUCUGCGUGUACCCUGUGUAUCCUCAAACAAGCCAUCUACAAAACCUACUGGUCACUGGUAAUGAGACAGAGCGGCCUUGUAGAUAAAAAGGGAGGACAUAUCAAGUGCUCACGGCAGGGAGAGAGGCGUGUCACUAAUUCCACACGUGGACAAGACACAAGAGUGGGCCGGCUGCUGUGCUGCCUCCCUCAAUGAGGGUAGUCCGAACCCCAUGGCUACAGGAACCCCAAGGGGACAACUGACUUCAUCAUGGACACUUCUCCCCUUUUCUCUACACCAGGACAGGUCUUGAUGUCUGUCAACAAGGCUUUCAGUGCCCUGCCCCACCCCAUCACACCCCACUAACUCCAUACCCCACAGCCACGCAAGUCUGCUUCCUCCAAAUCAAGGACACAGCCCAUAUCUUCUUUGAUCCACUCCCACGAAGCCUCUGGCCUGACUGGAACUUACAGAAAUAAUCUAGGUUGUGUGAAGGAUGGUGGAUGUCUUGAAUAGCCAGGCACCAACACCAGAAUUGUUGCAGUUCAGCCUUGCAAAUGACCAGAGUGAGAUGCCGUGACCAUUAGACACACCGCAGACAAGUAAAUGGAAACUUGAUAAAGCCAAGAGUGACGACAUAUCAAACUUCUAAGAACCAGUAUAUAGGGCUGGAGAGAUGGCUCAGAGGUUAAGAGCACCGGCUGCUCUUCCAGAGGUCCUGAGUUCAAUUCCCAGCAACCACAUGGUGGCUCACAGCCAUCCGUUAUGAGAUCUGGUGCCCUCUUCUGGUGUGCAGAUAAACAUGGAAGCAGAAUGUUGUAUACAUAAUAAGUAAAUAAAAUCUUUAAAAAAAAUAAAGAAAGAACGAGUAUAUAGAAGGUUUACUCACCAAUUCUGUGCUUUCUCUGCUAUGCCAGAGAUCACCAAUGCGAACCAUACAGGCCAUCUGGACCAGAACAGCUGGGGAUGUUUUAAAACACCGUCUCUCGCAGUCGUGGUCAUGACUGGCACAGUGCAGUGUGAGGAAAGUGUCUUGUAGCCAUGGCACUAGCACCAGAUCUGUCACACAGGCUCACUGUGCCUCGGUUUCCUUACUUGAAAACUUGACACCGGUGUUUUAAUACACAUGGUACGAUUAGGAGAUUCAGAGAGAAUGGACUAGAUUGUGUGUGGGGAGUCAACAAAGGUGCUUAAAAUGGAAUUGUCACCAUUUCUUUUUAUGAUAUGAUGCCAAAAAAUGACACAGAAACGGGGAGGGAAUCUGUCAGUGUCGCUGAAGGAAAAGUCAAAGGGCAGAAUUCCAAAGGACAGGGAGCGGUCGAAUGACCUUUCUUGGUUUCUAUGCUGGAUUUUGUGUCACUGUUAUUCCUCAGGAAAUGUCACCAGAGCCGUUGUUGGAACAGGGUGUGUCAUCUGCUGGGAGUUUGACGUCAGGAUCCUGAGGUGAGAGAGAGAUGGUAACUCCAUCUUGCUCAAGCUGCUAACCCUGUUCUCCAAGAAGGGAACUGCAAUUGCUCACAAUGGCCACCAGGGGGAGGCAAAUAGAGCUGCGUGAGGAAACCAGAGUUCUUAACUAAGGUGAUUGGCACUAGUCACUUUGGUUGCUCCCAUGCUGCUCCCUUUCUUGUAAAUGCCUGGCUCCAGCCCUUUAGCCAAUUGUCAGCUUCCCAAAUGACUUCUUUGUAGUCUAACCAACGUAAGCCCUGGAGGAUGGGAGAGCCAAGGACACCAACACUGUGCAGCUGACCUGAGGUGAUUCUUGACUGGCACUGUCUAGCCUCCCCGGGUCUCCACCCUGUUUCUCCAGCACAGCCAUCCAUUCUGUGACUUCCAGAUAGACCUCCAGGCUUACAGCCUCCUUCCGCAGCUUGCACAACGGCAGAAGCUGCCAGACGCUCCCCAAUCCUGUUUCCUCUUUUCCCCAGGCACGCAAGACCACCGAAUCUCCCUUGCAGUCAGCUCAGGACAACUGUGGCCAAAGGGAGCUCAUCACGGCCUCUGACCUAUUGCUACACUUUCUCUUCCCCUUCCACAAUGACUUCAAAAGCUCCUUGGUUAAGGCGACAGUCGCAAAAUGGAAGGGGCCAGGUCCUCAAGUCCUGCUUGUUGAGAAGAAACACCCCCAACCGCACACACCUAGCAUCAAAGCAUAAAAAUAAUUGUAAGGCCACCAAGAAUGGAGGGGAGGUGGCAUCAGAAUCUGGAGUCUAACACUUUGACUAACACCAGCCAUAACCCUUGGCCAACCCAAUUCCCAUCAUCACUGGCACAGCUGUUACUGGCAUGGUUACUGUUAGUACAGUAGCUGUUCAAAUAGCCUCAGUGGUAGUGUUAUGAGGUAAAGACCCAAAGACCACUCAGCCUGACCAAAGUUCAAGUUGAGAAUCUUUAUUGAGCAGGCUGGUGACUGCCUGGAGAGAAACACUUCCCACAGAGCAUGCCCAAAUGCAUUCUACGGGGAGCUUUUAAAGACAAAGAGCACGGGAAAGCUACACCCUGCUUGGCAGUUGCAGGGGGGAGCAAGCAAGCAGUUUCACAGGAGACAAGAAUGUGCGGUUAAUGAUAGCCAGCUCUGGAUUGUUCCUUACACCUAACGCAGUGUCAGCACAACGAGCAUGGUGGUGAUGCUUCGCUGUUUAGAGAAUAUUGGCGUUCACUAGGGAUGCCGUGUUCCCUGGGCACUGUCUGAGUAUUUGGAGUCUACAGAUUCAGAAGCAAUGGAUUUGUAAGGCCGCCUGAACUCCAUGGCUACAGUGAGACCACUCAAGAUGGUCAAGGGUUUUGUUUGUGUGACACUCUGCACUCACCAGAUGUUGAACACAGAGAACCGUGCUGCUGUUGGGGUGCAUAGACGGUUGUGACAAAGUCCAAUGGCGUGUCUCUGGAGUACAACAACUGUUUCCCUGAUCUGACCUCCACUCUUCUCGUAACUGCAGGAAUUUAUAAGGUUUUGUUGAUCUCACUGAAUCCUGAAAUCCUCACUGAAACCUUGUAUCCAUUAGGAUAAUCUAUACCCCACCCCGCCGCCGCUCGGUUCUCACUCCCACCCCAGUACCCACCUAGCUACUCACCUACAAGGUGGAAAUGAUCGCACCUGCCUCAGCGUGAGGCCUGGAAACAAAUCCGUAGCCACAGAGCAGGCUCCUGAAUGGAGCCUCUGUCUGUCCCUUGUCAUGACUUCCCCUGACAGUAGGUGACAGCCCAGCUAAGCACCGGGGCAGCAGCUGCUGCUGCUGUUGUCUGUCUCAGGCUCGAUGGGAACUGAGGGUGCGGGAGAGAGGGGUGUGCCGGCUUCUUGAUCUGCAGAGAUGCCCUGAGGAGUCAGCUGCCAGCGCAGGCUCGAGCAAUCCAACCGCGAGAUCCAAAUGCGCUCGUGAUCAGUCUGCAGCUUUAGCCAUCUUCUAGGGAACUGGGACACAGUGGUCCCCAGGUUUCAUACCUACCACCUUUGUAAUGUUUAACCAUUUAUCUCUUAACAUCUUCUAACGUUCAAUAUUCCUUCUUAAGAAUAUAGUUAGCCAAUUAGUGUUCCUCAUCUACGGAUUUCAACAAACACCGCAGAAAAUAUGGGGAAACAAUUAUGUCAGUGCUAAUAUGCCAUGGGCCCUCUUUACCUCUAGCUCAGGCUGAAUGGGCUGAUCCUGUCUCCAUGAGCUCUCACCAAGCCUUAGACUGUCACCCCUCUCCAGCGUGGCUGGAGAAUGAAUGCCUCAAACUGAUUGAUACCUUGCUCCUGUCUUAGAUACUUCCCUAAUGUUGGAAUUAAAGGUGUGAGCUAUAAUUCUCUUUCAGACUGAUUCAUUCUUGUGUAGAUCUGGGUGGCCUUGGACUCAGAGAAAUCCAUCUACCUCUUGAUCUGGAAUCCUAAGAAGAAAGGUGUGUAGCACCACCUCCUAGCUUCCGGUUGCCGGGAUUAAAGGUGUGUAUCACCACUGCCUGAUCUCUAUAGCUUGAGGCUGACCUUGCUUUUCUGAAUCCUCAGUCAAGCUUUAAUAAAUCAUAAAUAAUACAUCAUUACACACUGAUGUGUGGGAACUUGGCCAUUCAGUCUAGUGACCCUAUGGAGUAGGUUGGCCCUAUGGGUACUGUCUUCUCUGGGUACAUGACUGGAUGAGAACUGAGGACCAAGGGUCACACGCUCUCCUGGACCAUGUAAGAGCUGGCAGGGCUACAUCUUGGUUUGCAUCCCCUUUGGAACAGCAGCCGUGGCAGCAGGAAUGGUGAUAGUGUUAUCAGCUGGACCUGCAACUUUGUUCUGUCCUGUGACUGUAGAGCUUUGAUUUCC
RNAcentral lists this long non-coding RNA (4773 nucleotides) under Cricetulus griseus (Chinese hamster). Its description in RNAcentral is "lncRNA (ENSCGRG00015032850.1)". The record is from RNAcentral. Lineage: Eukaryota; Metazoa; Chordata; Mammalia; Rodentia; Cricetidae.